UCAUCAGUAGGGUGAUCCUUACCUGUAGUCCUUCGGGACACAGUGAGGACCACGUGAUGAAAUAGAGAGUAAUGAUUGGUCAUGACUUACUUUCUCUGGGUUGGCAGGAAAUGCAACACCUUCCAAUACCACUUCUGAC
Molecule: small nucleolar RNA, 139 nt
Organism: Dendronephthya gigantea
Lineage: Eukaryota; Metazoa; Cnidaria; Anthozoa; Malacalcyonacea; Nephtheidae
Product: U8 small nucleolar RNA
Exons: 1
Source: RefSeq, a predicted model, not a curated record